GCGGUCUGCUUAACACAUGCAAGUCGAACGGGCUCUUCGGAGCUAGUGGCGGACGGGUGAGUAACGCGUGAGGAUCUGCCCUUUAGGAUGGGGACAACAGCUGGAAACGGCUGCUAAUACCCGAUGUGCCGAGAGGUGAAACUAUUUGGCCUGAGGAUGAGCUCGCGUCUGAUUAGCUAGUUGGAGUGGUAACGGCACACCAAGGCGACGAUCAGUAGCUGGUCUGAGAGGAUGAUCAGCCACACUGGGACUGAGACACGGCCCAGACUCCUACGGGAGGCAGCAGUGGGGAAUUUUCCGCAAUGGGCGAAAGCCUGACGGAGCAAGACCGCGUGCGGGAGGAAGGUCUAUUGAUUGUAAACCGCUUUUGAUAGGGAAGAAGAUCUGACGGUACCUAUCGAAUCAGCAUCGGCUAACUCCGUGCCAGCAGCCGCGGUAAUACGGGGGAUGCAAGCGUUAUCCGGAAUUAUUGGGCGUAAAGCGUCCGUAGGUGGUUUUAAAAGUCUGUUGUCAAAUCGCGAGGCUUAACCUCGUACAGGCAGUGGAAACUAUAAGACUAGAGUGCGGUAGGGGUAGAGGGAAUUUCCAGUGUAGCGGUGAAAUGCGUAGAUAUUGGAAAGAACACCGGUGGCGAAGGCGCUCUACUGGGCCUGCACUGACACUGAGGGACGAAAGCUAGGGGAGCGAAAGGGAUUAGAUACCCCUGUAGUCCUAGCCGUAA
This 721-nucleotide ribosomal RNA is filed under the name uncultured cyanobacterium. RNAcentral describes it as "bacterial SSU rRNA". It matches the Rfam family "Bacterial small subunit ribosomal RNA", at positions 39 to 805 of the family's 1533-position model. Lineage: Bacteria; Bacillati; Cyanobacteriota. The record is from RNAcentral.